This 468-nucleotide ribosomal RNA is filed under the name uncultured bacterium. RNAcentral's name for it is "partial 16S ribosomal RNA". It matches the Rfam family "Bacterial small subunit ribosomal RNA", at positions 28 to 507 of the family's 1533-position model. The record is from RNAcentral.
GACGAACGCUGGCGGCGUGCUUAACACAUGCAAGUCGAACGGAAAGACCCGGCUUUUGUGCGGUGCUCGAGUGCCGAACGGGUGAGUAACACGUGAGUAACCUGCCCUUGUCUUUGUGAUAACAUCAGGAGACUGCGGCUAAUACCGCAUAUGAGCUCCUGCUGCGUGUUGUUGGUUGGAAAGAUUCGGCGGUUGGGUAUGGUCUCGCUGCUUAUCAGCUGGUUGGGGUAGUAGUUGCUUACCAAGGCUUUGACGGGUAGGCGGCCUGAGAGGGUGACCGGGCACAUUGGGACUGAGAUACGGACCAGAAUGGUACGGGAGGCAGCAGUGGGGAAUAUUGCACAAUGGGCGGACGUCUGAUGCAGCAACGCUGCGUGCGGGAUGACGGCCUUCGGGUUGUAAACAGCUUUCGCAUGUGACGAAGAGUGAGUGACGGUAAUGGGUAAAGAAGCACCGGCUAACUACGUA